CCUGACAUUUGGUCAUUCUUAAUGCCAGUUUACUUUAUGUGGAAAACCUUGGCAUUACCCUACUCUAAAUCUGAAUGUCUGAAAUUCGUAUCUCAUGAAAAGCAACAUAUAGUUGGUUUUAAUCUGAUAUCUGGUAAAUAUUGGCUUAUUCAUUUGGCAGCUCAAGUUUUUUGUUAUUUGAAACCAGCUGACUUGGUCUUAAAUGUGAUAUCUAAACACAGAUUAAGGACAAUGGAGCAGGAGGAUUAGCAUUUCACUUGAUGGCUGAACCUAAAAUGACAGGCAUGUCGACCACGACUAGUGCACGCAAGAGAAGGACCUGCAGCGAGCCAAAUGCAGUUUUAAUGAAGCAGUCAUCAUUAGAAGAUAGUCGCCAAAGCGACCCUGUGCAACAUUAUGAUAAUGCAGGUGUAAUGAAGAAGUCCUUAGUAGAAGAUAGAGCGCAAAAAAGGUUCCGGGGUGAGCCUAUGCAACGAUAUAAU
Molecule: non-coding RNA, 482 nt
Organism: Lolium perenne
Lineage: Eukaryota; Viridiplantae; Streptophyta; Magnoliopsida; Poales; Poaceae
Source: RefSeq, a predicted model, not a curated record